RNA transcript from Bombus pyrosoma, 7619 nucleotides. It is a transcript of the gene named CB1 cannabinoid receptor-interacting protein 1-like, with no coding region annotated. The record is from RefSeq and is a predicted model, not a curated record. Lineage: Eukaryota; Metazoa; Arthropoda; Insecta; Hymenoptera; Apidae. The transcript has 5 exons.
GGCGCGAACCGGCCGCAGGUCCAGUUUACUGUAAAAUGGAGACAUCGGCGAGAUUUCGGCAGCUGAAGACAGUGAAACUAAGCUGCGAAGCCACGUAUCGGUUGGACAUCAGCUUCAAACCUCCGCAACUAUUAGAAUUUGACAGAAAUGUGCAUCACUCGGGUGAAGGGCAAACGGAUAUUUAUUCCGUGAAUACGAUCUACGUUUCAAUUUCAUUGUCUUCAAAAUUCGUGGAGAAUUUUCAUUGUCUUAAGGGUCGUAUACUUGAUUAAUCCGAAUCACGCAAUAUAGCGGUAGACUUUACGUGGGUUAGAUUAAUUAACGAGCAUUCUAAUUAUUAUAUGCGUACUGCGUUCCUUUGCUACCGAGUUUCGAAACUUGACGGAAGAAAUAAAAAUACGAAGAAGACUAUUCGCGAGAUUCGGAGUAUAAAAUUGUACUGUCUUAUUUCACUUACAUUAUCACCGUAACAAUUACUGUAUUAUUAUUAGCUUAGAUCUCGUAGUUGGAUAUUCAUUUUAUAAAUAAAAAAAUUUGAUCGAUAUUUGAAUUCAGUAUAAAGAGAAAGAUAAACCAUUUAUAAUAAUUCCCUCCUUAAAUCUUUCCAGUCUGUCAACUGCAAAACGAAUUAUUAUAUCGAAUACAAUACGGCGGAAAAUAAAGAACGAUACAAGAAAGAAUGAAAAUAAAGACAUUGAGAUACGAAGAACAUCGAAAAAAUAAGUUAUUUGUACACCGUGCUUGGGAAUAAAUACGAUGUGUACCACGCGAAAAUACGAAAAAGCCAUAUCAUCCGCGUCAUUUACGUUUUAACAAUUUCCACCAGCGAGAAGCUUUCGAAAAUUCCAAAAUUUAUAUCCACCAACGUUGGAAUUUUUCGCGCAGAAUUUUUCGUUUUGGAAACGCCGAGAGCUAUUCUACGAGACGAUAAAAUGCCUAGGAAAUCCGUCGAUAUAUCGGUACGAACAGUUACAUCGAGUCGGCGCGACUGUAUCUUCUUCUCUCCUGUCUGGCAGAUUCAAUAUUCCCAAUAACACUCGACCUUUGAAAGUUGAUUACCUGCGUUACGUUUUGCCACGGCCGAGGACUUUAAUCUUUACGUACAUGUACAAACUUAUCGAAAGUUUUCGUUUCUGGCAAAAGCUCGAUCGGAUUCUCGAUAACUGUGGAUGCUCGUGACUCGCGUCAAUAAACAUUCAGCAGCGGCCGCUGCAAAGGCACUGCACUGGUUGCGCGAACGAUGAAAAAAGGGAUAUACACGUUCGUUGGGGAAAAAGCUUAUUUACAAAAUCCUCGAGAAAGAGCGAGACGUUAUCUGUACAGGCGUCUGUUCCAACUAUUUUUCAUCACCUAUCCGAGGAGGCCACUUUCCACGUCGGAUAAGUUUAAAUUUACCGCUUGAAAGAGCCGUUCUGAAAAUAAUUUUGCCCCAACUUUUCCUUGCUCCAAUUAAUAUCUCGGAUUGAAAAUUUACUCCACUACCUUCAUUUUCUCUCUUUUCUCUCUUUUCAUUUCUAUUUAUGCGACGUUACAGCGUCUGAUUUAUUUUUGCAUUCGUUGGCUAAUAUCAUAGGAAUGGAAAUUUUGCGUGUCCAUCCAUUGGGAAUGACUGACAAGAAAUGAGGUUCAGCUGGUUGCAGUCUAGUUGAAACUUUGCACGCCGACAGAUAGACCGUAGAUUUACGUGUUGUAUAUGUUACUACGACUUCAUAUUUUUACGAAGACAAGUAGCAAUUCAAGAGUAUCGUGUGACAAUGUGCCAUAAAAUGCAAAAUUCUGCACUAUGUACCGUGGCUCACGAACGUAUUUGAACACUUAUAGAAACUUUUUAUGAACGUAUUAUGUGCAUUACGACUUAAAUGGUUGGAAAUGCUUGAAAAAAAAACAAGCGAGGAACGAAACAGGCAUUUGUUAACCAUUGAACUUGCAGAAGCAGUUAAAACUUUUACGAUAUCGAGCUAGCAAUUCGUAGCUACUCAUCGACUUUCUCUUCAGCCUACUUAUCGAACAAAGCGAGCGGAGCGGCGAACGAAGAUCAGUAGUAACAAGACUGAUAAGUCAGACGAUCACAAAGCAUCCGAUUGAGAAACACUACUACGGAGUAUAAUAUAAUAUACAUAUACAUAAUACAUGCACAAUACACGUUCAAUUCUAAUCUUUAAUUCGUUAAUUUUUCUAAUUCUUGAUAAUUUUCUAAUACGUUCGUUAGCAUCGUUAUAUGUGCAAAUUAUGUUCGAAGAUUGUAAGGGAAGAGCACGAUAAGUCACAUUUCAUAUUUUUAGAGAGAAGCAAUUUUAAGAUUGAAGACGUAGUCAAUCGAUCCUAUAUCGGCAAAAUUGUCUGUAUUUUUAGUUUCGCAGCUAAACGUGCGUUUUCUCGUCUCUUCCUAAAUUUUCAAGAUAUUCGUCGUCAUUAUGUUACAACAUCGAAGAUAUUAAAAUAUUGCCUUAUUGGUCUUAACAAUUAUAUUUUUCGGGUCCGUACAAAUGUCAAGUUCAAAUUGAAAUUCAGUAGCUAUACAAAUUAAUGAAAACCGAUUGAUUCUUCACAAGGAUUGAUCGAUCUUUUCCGAUACGACGAUAUAUUCUUAAGGCGAAUGCAGCGCCUGAUUAAAAGAAUUGGGAAUUCCUCUGCAAGCGUAUCGCUAGGUAGAAAGCGGCUGGAACGUUGAUUAAAUCUAUAAAACGCGUCUCACGAAGAAAUUUAGGAGAAUCACGUAUUUAUAAGGUGGAUGCAUGGAAAAAAGAUCUGGUAGCGAGGUAGUGCAAAGACACACUGGCCUGACAGCGAUAUACAACGGUGCAAGAAACCGGGUCACGGAAUAAAAAAUAUUCCACUUUCAAAAGUACUAUAGACUGGUAGAACUAGAACAACAGCUUACUUUCAUGUGGUCCAUGACAUCGGUUAAUCGAUGUAAAACAGAAGGAAAAGGGAACGUCAAAUGGGUCAAACAGAAGUCUUAUACGAACUUCAUCCCAAUUUCAUCCGAGUUUCGUUAACUUCUUACGCGAAUAAUUCAUUCUAUCGUGUAAUUCUGUGCAUUCCUAUUUUCAAAUUCGUAUCGCGUACGACGUAAAUUACAAAGCAGCACGUUUGCAUAUUCAUGUUCCUUUUAAGCGAAAUAUAUUUUUAUCAAGCUUCGCGUUUUAUUCGCACGCUACUAAAUUCUUGUAGUUGCGUAAAAAUAAUUACGUGUUAACCGCGUUCAUAGUCGGAGAAUGAAAAUGUGCUUUAGAAAAGCAAUAUACAUGUAUCAUGACUGGGAAUUACGUUGACCCAUAACAUGAGUCAUGGGGCAGUGGAACGUGCUAAAAGAUAGAAAAUUUCGCAUGCAUCUGAUUAAUUGACACGCAAAUACCACGAUAUGUAUGGUCGCAUGCGAAACAGAGUAAAUUCUUUUUUUAGCCGUUUUAAUAUUUAAAUCACGUAAUAAUUAAACCUUCAGGUAUGAUUACUCAAGUAUAAUUAUUCGUAACUAUAUUUAGCCCUGAAGUCAUGUAAAUCGUGUUCCGUUUUAAACGUAAAAUAAGAUACAUUCGUCAAAUUUUCGAUUUACCUAACGCUGAGUGUGGCGUUGCAAGUAUUUGUACAGAGGAUCGUCUCUAUUUAUCGUCGACGUGAGUCAGCGAUUUUCGCGAGUCUUUGUUAGGAAAUCGCAUCCCUCCGGAAAGUGCAACUGUCGGCACUGCUUAGAAGUUCGAUUAACAGCGUAUAUCCCUUGGUGGGCUGCUAUCGAAACUUUUGUCGCAAAUUUCCACCCGAACGUACACACGUCUGAACAAACGUGCCUAUUUUUCGAAGGUCUCUCUUUCAUCUCGCCUCUUUCAAUGCCGACUGUUCCUACUUUAUUUCGCGAACACAGCAAGGAAGAGGAGAGUAAACGAAGAAGAAGAAGAGAGGAAAGAGGCGAGGAGGAAAAAGGAAGAAAGUAAAGAGACUAAAAAUACAAGAUUGCGAAUGGCUUUUUGUUUUACAGACGGAUUGCCUUUUAAAAGGGAAGCUUCGUCCCAUUGGCUUUUUCCUCUCGCCUCUCUUUAUUUCUGUCUCUCUGUCAGAUUCGCGCGCCGCCGCUAAAUUCGCUAAUUGGGAACCUUUUUUGUCGGAGAUUCGUGUUGUCCGAUCGAUUUAAGUACGUGCAGCCAAUUAUCCCACGAGCUAUCGAACGUGGCUACAGUUUAAUUUGAAAGAGCUGUACGUACGGUUUUUGCUGAUUCUAUCCCUGUUUGAAAACUGGGGGGAAAAAGAAAAAAGAAGAAAACACGAAAUCUACGUUGGAAUUUUUGGUAUUAUCUUUGGCAAUAAUUUUGCAAACAGAUUCGUUCUCCGGAACAAACAGUAACAAAUAGUAACAUAAAGAUUUUGAUAUACGGUGGAUUACGAAAAUAUUUCAACGCUCACCAUAGGAAACUUUUACACGUAUAGAGUGUGUGUUACAUAAAACAAUUGGAAACUUUAUUAGCUCUGUAACGAGACACGACCGUCGUGAUCAUAUUGGUGAAAUUUGGAACCAAUAUGAAAAUGUAAGCAAAAGUUACGAGAUAAUAUAUAUUAGUGAAAGAUUUUUUACAAGUAUUCGACAAGUGUACUUCCGUGAGCUGCUUUAUAUACAAUAGUUUUAUAACAAAUUAAUAGAUGAUAACUAUAAGUAAAAUAAUCUUGGAUGAAACGUAUACACGUAUAAUGAGCAUGCUGAAUAAUACUGCGUCUGCCUAUAAAAACGGAAUGAGAAAACGUUGCUUAUAAACCGCGGUAUAAUGCCAAGGGAGACGUUCCAGGGUUGGGAAACUUAUUGUCCUACUUUUUCGCGUAGCCCUUUGAAUCACAUAAAUUUCGAACAACAAGUAUAAUAUGCGCGGCAGGUAAUCUCGCCAUAGAAAGUUGGAUUUUCAACGUAACAUCGUGUUAAAUUGAUGCAAUAUCGAACAGAAUGUUCCAGUCUCUGUCCACUUAAUCGACCCAAAACAGUGUCCAUUUAAUUGCUUUCUACAUGAGUAAUAAGCUUGCAGUAUAAUACUGCUACAAUCGAAUAGCAUAAAGCAGAGUCAAUUGCUGAAGAUUCAAUACAGCCGAGGUAAUAGCGUGCCAACGAUUUAGGUCGCGACUAGUAAACCUCAUAACCGCGAAACAGUUGGACGAAUUAAUUAAAGUCUCAUCUUGGUGGCGUGUUCGGAAUGUUAGUGGCGUAAUCGAAACGGAAAAGCGCGUCGAAUUACGAGCAAGAUGUUUUCCGCUGGUGAAGUGAAAAUAUAUUUCUUCCGAAAAUUGCACGUGAUCUAUCAAAGUCGUCGCUUUGGGAUUCGCUCCCUCUCUCUCUCUCUUUUUCUCUCUCUCCCUCGCCUGAUACGUAUGCAUGCACUUUAUUCGGCGGAGUCGAUUUCCGGGGGAAACGCGCGCGUGGAUGGAAAGCUAACAGAGCCAGAUAGUUCUACUUUAAAUCGAACGCUCCUAUACCUCGGAGGAUCUUAUCUGGCGCGCGAUGUAUAUCGUAACUUUCUAAUUCCGCUUACAAAGUCGGUUACAAAUGCACAAUACGAACUUAAGCGCGUUAAAUGAACACCCUGUGUUUCGUUCCGCGAACCAAACAAAAUUGGCCUGUAUCGAAAAAGAAAACGAGGUACGACGAACAAAGAAUUUCCUGAAUAGAGAAGCAGAAAAGCCGUUUCCGCUGUUUGCGAGUUUGUCAGAGGGAUUAUUUUCAAUGCGAUGGAACUUCUCUUCUCGUUGUUGGUGUUUUUUUUAACUCUCGUCACUGAGGCAGAAAGGAAGCGAAGUCUCCACCAGAUGAUCAUCCGAGAGCAAAGCAGGCCAACUCCACUGCGUGUCUAAGGAUCGAACGGAACGGUAUCACGAUCGUUAAAGUGGAGACUCUGGCUAGAUUUUGUUCGAUUUCGUCUUGAGGGAAUUUUGCUUGCACGCGAAACUCUGAAUUAGUUAGCGUACGACGAGAACACUCGAAUCGUGCUUUCGAAUCGUGGCGAGUCGAUCACGGACGGGGCUUUCAUCGUUAAAAAUCAACCAGAAAUAUCUACUUUUAGUAUUUAAUGCAGAGAAUGGCUUACCGUUGCAUGUCUCGAGUGAAACGGAGAAUUUUUUACCUCGUUGCCUGCUAUCAGUCCAACGUAUCUCCACCCUUAUCGGUGCCACGCGUUCCUUUUUCAACUUUCACCAACAAUCGUUCUUGGUCAUUUCCUUUAAGCCGUACUACCUCGGUUUUCCUCCAGGAUAAGAGAAAUCGGGGAAACUCUGUCGAUAGUAAAACACGGUGGUUACCAAGGUUUCAUAGCUGCUAAAAAGACUCUACGGUUUCUUACGAUAUCGUAAUCUUUGGCAAAGAAAAAUAUCUAUGUAUCGAUCGACAAUCAAUUUAACUUUAUCUACAUACAGCGUCUCGUCUCGUUCGCUAAAUAUAGUAUACAGCCUCGUUAUUAUUUUGCUGUAGUCUCUACAGGAUUCGUCUGAAAGACGUAAACAGGAAACGAAAUACUCCAGUAGUCUGUAAGAACCAUUCAAAGAAACUCAUUACCCGAAAAGACGAGAAGAACAAGAACAGAUUGGUAUCAAAAACUCUAAUUUUAGCGGAAUCUUUCUUCGCGUUUCAUUCUAAUUAAAUCUUUCUUAAUCUUUCGCCAUGAAUUUUCCCAGCAUAUUUCCCAUAAUAUUCUCACAAAAAACUCCCGAAAAUACCAAAAAUCGUUCGUAAUACUCCGCGAACAUCCAAUGAAAGAAAUUUCGCAGAGGCACGAUUCUUCUUCUUCUUCUAAAUUAAGAAGGGCUCGUCAUGGUAGGCCGUUGUUUCCAAGCAAAAAACUCUCGAGAGGGAUUAAUCGGGAGAAUUGGAUGUUCUACGUUGAAUCGAGAGGAGAGGAACGAACAAAGAAGUCUCCACACUGCUUACGAUCUAGGACUCGUUACAUUUUUCACGAACGGCGAUAGAAUCGUAUCGAUCGAACGUAGGAUACGCCUUUAGGUAUUAUUCGUAAUUUGCCAUCGAAAAGCUUCUUUUUAAGCUAUCUGCAUCGGGCGUUCGUAUCGAUAUAUCCGUCGGUUAUUUCGCUAAAACGAUUCCGCGAUUGCGAUUGAUCAACGUCGAGAACGACGACGACGACGACGACGACGACGACGACGACGACAACGACGACGAUCCGAAUGUAUUGCACCAAAAAUUUCUUCGUGCUCUUUAUUUUUACGACGAGCGACCAUGUGUGCUUUAGUUCUUUACGAGUAAUAUCGAGAAGCGACGUGCUGGGAAUGUGAAUCUCGAGUUUACGAUUUCGUCACGGGCUUAGACAGUCCGCUGGGUCGUUUAAUGUUUAAGGAGCACGCCUUUGAACAUCUUGACGGCGACCGUAUUGACUCAAGCAAUUGCUGAAUUCCUCGCAACGUGAAAAGGAACACUAACAUUAUCCAAGUUCGAAGAUGAAUAUUGCACGACUGCGAUCGAAGGUACAUUGAAGCGAUGGGAGUCGAGCUAGAAAAGAGAGUCCCUGAGCAUAGGAGGGAAACAAGUGGAAACGAUUGAACGUGCACGGGACGGGACAGCCUGUGCUUACAGUGCUUAUCAUAGCACAAAGGGUAUACCGGCGAGUGCUCGUGGUCAUCGUGAAGAAUUGCCAAUAGCC